This 72-nucleotide transfer RNA is filed under the name Mus musculus (house mouse). It matches the Rfam family "tRNA". From Rfam's summary of the family: Transfer RNA (tRNA) molecules are approximately 80 nucleotides in length. Their secondary structure includes four short double-helical elements and three loops (D, anti-codon, and T loops). Further hydrogen bonds mediate the characteristic L-shaped molecular structure. tRNAs have two regions of fundamental functional importance: the anti-codon, which is responsible for specific mRNA codon recognition, and the 3' end, to which the tRNAs corresponding amino acid is attached (by aminoacyl-tRNA synthetases). tRNAs cope with the degeneracy of the genetic code in two manners: having more than one tRNA (with a specific anti-codon) for a particular amino acid; and 'wobble' base-pairing, i.e. permitting non-standard base-pairing at the 3rd anti-codon position. The record is from Rfam by way of RNAcentral. Lineage: Eukaryota; Metazoa; Chordata; Mammalia; Rodentia; Muridae.
GCCUGGGUAGUUCAGCUGGUAGAGCACCAGAUUUUAAUCUCAGGGUUCGGGGUUCAAAUCUCUGUUCAGCCA